CCUACGGGAGGCAGCAGUGAGGAAUAUUGGUCAAUGGACGAGAGUCUGAACCAGCCAAGUAGCGUGAAGGAUGACUGCCCUAUGGGUUGUAAACUUCUUUUAUAUGGGAAUAAAACGUUCCACGUGUGGGAUUUUGUAUGUACCAUAUGAAUAAGGAUCGGCUAACUCCGUGCCAGCAGCCGCGGUAAUACGGAGGAUCCGAGCGUUAUCCGGAUUUAUUGGGUUUAAAGGGAGCGUAGGUGGAUUUUUAAGUCAGUUGUGAAAGUUUGCGGCUCAACCGUAAAAGUGCAGUUGAAACUGGCAGUCUUGAGUACAGUAGAGGUGGGCGGAAUUCGUGGUGUAGCGGUGAAAUGCUUAGAUAUCACGAAGAACUCCGAUUGCGAAGGUAGUUCACUGGACUGCAACUGACACUGAGGCUCGAAAGUGUGGGUAUCAAACAGGAUUAGAUACCCCUGUAGUC
RNAcentral lists this ribosomal RNA (460 nucleotides) under uncultured bacterium. RNAcentral's name for it is "partial 16S ribosomal RNA". It matches the Rfam family "Bacterial small subunit ribosomal RNA", at positions 338 to 795 of the family's 1533-position model. The record is from RNAcentral.